CCUGACACUGAUCACUGCCGAAUCUUCGUGAGGGACUGUCCGAUCAUCUCAGCCCAGUUUGAGCGCGUCAGACUCAGGCAGUCUUCUUGAUGCGACAAGCGAUGCAACCAAGACCGCGGAAGAGAGCGUAGCGGCAAAACCUGCGAUGGCUGCGGCGAAGAUGAUGCCGAUCUCGCCGAACCGAUCACUUGCAGCGCGGCCGAUGCGACGAGAUGACGG
This 219-nucleotide unclassified non-coding RNA is filed under the name Hevea brasiliensis (rubber tree). The record is from RNAcentral. Lineage: Eukaryota; Viridiplantae; Streptophyta; Magnoliopsida; Malpighiales; Euphorbiaceae.